UAUAGAUUCAACCUCUUUUUUUUUGUCUUAGAUAUGCUACUGUCCCCAUUACCAUAGCUGGAGAACGUGAGGUCACACAGUCAUCUCUCCAUCCCCAGCUCAAGGCCAUGUGGUCACUUUAUGUCUUUCUCGUUUGUGAGUGGCUUCAGUGUACUUUAUGGCACCCUGGACUAUUGGUUCUUCCUUUGCUUAAAUUAGUUUGGUUUAGGUUUCCUUCACUUAUGAUCAGUCCUGACUAAUUCAAAUUGGUUCUAGAACUGGGGUUUUACAUUUGAUCUACCAUUUCCCUUAGUCUGUCUCCAGUACCUUCAACUCUUUUGACCCUUGUUCUAUUAAAGCCAGUUAACCUAAGCCCUGGAUCAAGCCACAGCUAUUCCUGGGCCACUGAAGGGGCUUCUGGAGAAAAAACACAGAGCCACACCUGCUGGCCAAAGCAAAACAAAAGGAAGCAAAUGAAACAAAACAUCAUGGCACUGCCUACAGGAUCUUCUGUGGAUGUGAUGUGUCCAAAUCAGAACUCUUUAUUCUGCUGCUUCCCAGAUUUCAGCUGCCUCUGGUCUUCUCCACUUGAGAACCAUUUGUGGAACCACCAUGUGGCUCUUUGCAAACACCUUGAGUCAUUGUUGACUCAUCCUGUUUUUCUUUCAUACCACAUCUGAUUGUUAGAUUUACAAUUAUUGAAUCUUGUUCUUUCAUACCACAUCUGAUGGUUAGAUUUACCAUCACUGAAUCUUGUUGGCUAUCCUUACAAAACAUCCUGAAUCUGCUCUUCCAACUGCUUGCAUGUGUGCUCUAGAUAGCUGCAGUAGCCUCUUAUGUGAUGUCCCUUCUUCCACAUCUACCUUGUUAGCCUGUGUGAGCCUUUUAAAAUACCAGUUCAGCCUUGUUGUCUCCCUGGUUUCCACCAACAUCCAUCACACCAGGACGAAGUGAUCUCCAACACCCUACCUAUGUGAUCUAUCCCCUGCCUGUCACCUCCUGCCCCUCUCCUUCCAUUGGCCCUAGCUGUUCUCCUUGUCUGGAAUAUUUCCCUUCGGAAAUUUGCAAGGCUUCUUCCUCUCUGUCUUCAGAUCUCUAUUCAGACGUCACUUCUCUGGGAAGCCUGCCCUGAGCAUCCUGUUUUCACAGCCUCCCCCUUCUCUGUCCUCUCCCCAUGACUGUUUCCUUUUCCCUGAUGUUAUUUUUUUUGUGUGUGUGUAUGUGUUUACCUAUUCAUUUGCUUAUCCCUCUUCUCACUAUAAUAUAAAAUUUCAUGUUACCCAUUAUAAGUAAGUUUGUUUCAUGUUCACUGCUGCCUAUGAAGUAUGUCCAAAAUAGUGCCUGGCAUAAUAGUAGGCUAUCAAUAAAUAUUUGCAAAAUGAAUGAACAAGGAACUGAAAAUACCAAGCUAAAUGGUGCCACCACAGAGACCCACCUCCAGUGCUGGUGACAGUCCUGGCUUUCCCUUGUCAGCGCUCUCCUCUCAAAAUGCUCAUACUCCCCUCUCCCCACAACUUCACCCUUAUCACUGUCACCAGGCAGUGUGGCCUCCUGCUUCAUAGACAAAGUAGACCCCUUAGAGGUCAUGUCCUCACCCAGUCAACAAGUUCUCCAGCUUCACACCUGUCCUGCGGGACCUCCCUCCUGACACAAUGGGAGAUGAGGCUCUGCCUCUUAAGACCAGGGUGACCCUUCACCUGUGCAUUCCUUGUUCCAAAUAUAGAGGCCUUGCUUCUUCCACCUCACUCUCCCCAUCUCUCCACUCCAUCCUUCCCUUCCCAUCCGUAUUUCUGCAUGUCUGUCCCCCUGCCCUCCCUUUCUUUGCCUCCCUGGAUAGUUAAGCUUCACAGCAGCAUUUUCUACAUUUGCUUUUUCUGCAUUCUCACUGUCCUCACCCUAGCAGUUGUUGGGAGGGAUUCUCAUAUUUCACAGAGAGACACAAAAAAAGGCCAGACUGACCCCCCCCCCCUUUCUCAAUGGCUAAGAGGUGAGGAAUAAUCCAGUUCUUGGAUCUCUAGAAGCAAAUGCUCUAUUGGGACUAUAACCCACAUCCUCUGGCGCCAUCUGCUGGCCAUAUCAGAACAAAACCUUGCUGCGCUGAGAAUGGGGUCUGGAUUCUUUGAGCUUUUCAAAAUCCAAACAAAUGAACCAACACAAACAAUCUUAACUAUAAAAGGAGGCCUUAUUAUUCCCUAAAGUAAUUUCUUUUGUUCGUUUGUUCAUUCAUUUUUUUUUUGUUUGUCCAUCAAAUGUUAAUGACUUACUUUUGUAUGCCAGGUGCUGCGAGGAGAAACUUCAUGUGUCUUGGUGGUGGUGGUGGGGGGUACAGUACCAGGGAUUAUACUUAGAGGCACUCAAUCACUGAGCCACAUCCCCAGCCCUAUUUUGUAUUUUAUUUAAAGACAGGGUCUCAUAGUUGCUUAGCACCUCGCCAUUGCUGAGGCUGGCUUUGAACUUGCAAUCCUCCUGUCUUAGCUCCUGAACUGCUGGGAUUAUAGGCAUGUACUGUGUGUGUGUGUGUGUGUGUUUACAUGAAAGAUUAUUUAAUGACAGUGCUUUUGGAAUUAUAUGUCUCUAAACACCACAAUAGUCCUACAAUACAGUUUGUUUUGGGUGGAAGGUGGGGGAUUUGGUACAGAAAGGCUUACUUAAAUAACAGUUGGGAAAGAAAGUUCCUUUGUGUUUAUGUGGUUUGCACUAUAAGUUUGGUUUAGGGGCAGGGUGAACAGAAAGAUAAAUGGUUCUUAGCUACAAAACAUACUCAAUUGAUCAAAAUUGAUUAAAGAACAAACCUACAUUUUUAGGUGAUCUUUCAAAAUGAGUUCUCUGUUCUGAAUUACCCAUUAACUACUGGGGAUUCAAACUCACUCCCUUAUUAUAAAAAUGCAUAUUCAUGCUGGGCACGGUGGUACAUGACUGUAAUCCUAGUGGCUCGGAAGGUUGAGGUAGGAGGAUUGCAAGCUCAAAGCCAGCCUCAGCAACUUAGCGAGGCCCCAAGCAACUUAGCAAGACCCUAAAUAAAAUAUAAAAAAGAACUGGGGAUGUGGCUCAGUGGCUAAGUACCCCUGGAUUCAAUCCCUUGAAUGAAUGAAUAAAUAAAUAAAUAUUUAUAAAAUGUUUAUGGUUGUGGUGUUCUAGUUACAAAUAGCUUCUACUUUUCUAAUAUAGAAUUUCACUUUUGGGAAACUUUAAUUAUGCUUCAAGAAUUAAGUUUACUAAAUCAAUAAAUAAAAUAUGUGAAUUUAUCUUGUCCUCCAAGUGAAGCUGGACUUAUGGGUUGUAUACGAUUCUUUUAUGUUUGGACAUAAGUAAUAGAGGUGUAAGGAAGAAGUCUUUGGUAUGAAUAUAUACUUACUGUGUCCCAGUAAAUCUGGCUUCCUUUGGGGACAAAAUAAGGUCUCAUUAAAAAAAACUUAUUUAUUGGAAUAGAAUGGCAUAUGUAACUCACAGAUCAUGAGUGUACAACAUGUAAAAUUUUGAACCUCUCAUGUAACUAGAAACAGAAGUGUCCCUUGUGCCUCUCCCAGUCAUUACCCCCACCAAGGGUGUGUUAUCUUGUUACUGUAACAGAAUACAUGAGAUAAUAAACUUAUAAAGAGAAAAGGAUUAUUUUUGCUUAGAGUUUUGGAGAUUUCAGUCUGUGGUUGCGUAGACCCAUUGCUUCUGGGCCUGUGAUGAGGCAGUACGUCAUGUGGUAGAGCAAACUACUCACCUCAUGGCAACCAGGAAGCAAAGAGAGGGACAGGAGGGGGGUCUCAGUAUCUUCUUCAAGGACAUGUCCCCAAUGAUCUAACUUCCUCUCAAUAGGUCCCACCUCCUAAAGGUUCCACCAUCUCCCAAUAGUGCCACAUACUGGGGACCAAGCUUUUAACACAUGAGCUUUUGGAGCUCUUUUAGAACCAGACUACAGCAAAGUAGUUUGAGACUUUUCACACUUUAGUUCGUGCCUAUUUUUGUACUUUAUGUAAACCUACAUUUUUAUUAUAAUCAAAUCUCUGAGGUUCAUCCCUGUUUGUGUAGCUGUCAUUAGUUUAUUCUCAUUGUCAGAUUAUAGUUCACUGUAUGAUGUGCUAAGAUUUAUAUAUGCC
RNAcentral lists this long non-coding RNA (4067 nucleotides) under Marmota monax (woodchuck). Lineage: Eukaryota; Metazoa; Chordata; Mammalia; Rodentia; Sciuridae. The record is from RNAcentral.